CUUCUCACAUAAAAUACACGAUUAAUCAAUCUCCAUCUCUCUACGCCCGUUCCCUUCUCAUUCAAUGCCAUUAUCAGUUUCUUCAACUCAACCGUUCCUCUUUUAAUGCAAUCAUCAAAUUCUUGAAUUCAAUAGCCCUGUCUGUUUGUAUAUCGCAAGUCAGUCAAGGGGUUAUUAGGAUUCGGGUAGAUGAAUCUUGUGGUAGACGAUCCUUCUUGAUUAUGUUGUUUGCGGCGAUGGCAGUGGUAGGUAGUGAAAGAUCGAAGCCUCAACAGUGGCGGCUUUAGGGUUCUUUCAUAAGUCACUCGGGGGCGGUUAGGAUUCCGGCAGAGGAAUCCUCAGAUGGUGAAGUUGAGGUUUGGUAGCGACUAUGGUGGUGAUUGAUGGUGAUUACAGGAAGUGGAUCCAUGUGAAGAAUUGACUGAUGAUGACAUUCGAACCGCCAUACAAGAUGCAUCAGGUCCUAGAUCUACCUUAUUUGUACCAGAAGUUCCGUUUGAUGUUCUUAUUAGAAGACAAAUUGCUCGUUUAUUAGAUCCAUGUGUUCAAUGUGCAAGAUUUGUAUACGAUGAGUUAAUUAAGAUGAGUCAUAGUUGUAUGGUUAAUGAGCUACAAAGGUUUCCCGUCCUUCGAGAGCAAAUGGAUGAUGUUACAGGAAAUUUCUUACACGAUGGUCUUCAAUCCUCUGAGACCAUGAUUGGACACGUAGUCGAAAUGGAGGUUAUUCGAUGACAAAGGAGAGAGUAGUUGUGGUAGAUCAGGCAACGGCGGUGGAUCUGGACACCAACGGCGAUGACGGAAUCGGAUUCCGGCAGGAAGAGUGUGGGCGGGUAACAAUAUAGUGGAGUUUAUUGUGUGAGGUUAAAGGAGGCGUAUGCGCAGAUAAACCGAAAGGCUCCUGUACCUAACGGAACCAUGGAUACAUUGAAAUUGUUGACUGAGACGUUUGGGAGGAGAGCCGAUAACAUGAAGUUUGUCUAGAUACAUAUCAAAUUGGAGCAAGUUUCGCUACAAAGCCCCUGUUUAAAGCCAUAUGAUUUUUUUUAAAUCCUUGGAAGCUGUUGUUUAAGGUGGCUUCCGAUCUCAACUCAAGAACGAAGGCUAGCACCCUUCAACGGCCGGAGAAAUCAAGGGUCCUAUAUUAAACCCAUUUUCCGUUAUAGAUUUGCGCCUAUAUAUGAGCUAUUAUCGCUGCCGUUCACGGAGGAGGAGAGAGACGCUCAGAAGCCAGACAAAACACCGGCCGUUGCACGCCUGCACCCAUGUUCCAGUGUUCCAGUUGUAAAUCGGAACUAUCCAUCAGACAAGUUCGAAAUCAAAGCCAUUUGAUCCAUUUAAGGUGUUUGUAUAGUGGAUCUCACCCUUUUGAGGACUAAAAUGUAAUUUCCUCCCUGGUUUUAAGACGGCAGCCCAGUAGACAUACCUUUUACCCUGAUUCUUCAUCCUUAUCUCCCAAAAUUGCCCCCAAUUCAAUAUCUUUAGCCUACAUGAUUCUUGCACAACGAACUAUUCAUCCCAACAGUCGGUGUACAUUGAAGACGCCAAUUGAUGAAAGUGUAAAUUGAAGGCGCCGAUUGAUGAUUGAAACGGUGGCAACAGUUAUAAAUACGAUCAAUGAUCAAUUAGGUUUGAUGAUUGAAAUCAACUCUUGAUAUUGAAGAUGUUCAAUCUGAUUUGGUUUUGAAAUAUAUGAUUAGUGUGGAUAGGGCUCAUUUGAUUUGUUGAUUAUGAUUGACAACAUUCAAUUGCAUGCUGAAUUUUAGUUUGACUUAAUGGCGUAAUUGCUGCCCCACUUGAAAAUACUUAAGAGCCCGGAAAAACUUCUUCUGGGAUUUUGACAAGUGUUUGUUCCUCAAUUUCAUCACUACCCUUUACAACACAAACAUUCGGUCUAACAACCUCAGACGAUAACAAACCUACAGUAACAAUACAACCAUCAACAAGUACCACGUGUUAGAUCAUUUGUCUGCCUUGUUACCCAUCCGCCACCACAACAAAUCUUCAAAUAAAAAACACAGUUCAGAAUCAACCCAACUGACCCAAAAUCAGGACCUGAAGAUAAGCUAAGAGGGGUUUUCAUUCAGAAACUGAACGGAAAAGUUGUUGUUAAACAAGCACUAACAACAGCUGCUGUUGAUGUUAAUGUGAACAAUAAUAUAGUUGCUAAAGUUGUCAACAGAGGAAACUUAGAUGGAGGGUCUAUGGUUAAGUUAUUUGAGUGGGCGAUCGAGCGAGCGAAGGACCAUGGUUGCGGAUGUUAGUAGUUAUAAUGUGGUUCUUAAAGCAUUAGGGAGAAGAAAGUUUUUUGCUUUUAUGGAGAGUGUUUUGAGUGAGAUGAGGAGUAAAGGGUUGAAGAUGGAUAACGAAACUUUUUUUAUUUUACGGAUAGUUUCGUUAAAGGUAAACGCGUCUCGAAAGCUUUACGUAUGUUUGGGAAAUUGGAAGAGUUUGGGAUGGAGUAUGAAAGGGAAAGUGUAGAUAUAUUGAAUCUUGCUUUGCAAGAAGAUUCCGGUGACUUACAAACCGCCGUUGUUAGUUACCGGAAUAAGUUCCCCCGGUCUCUUUUGCAACGCUUUCUUUAGACAUAUAGUGAAGUUCAAGGAUGGAAUCAUGACAUUGGUCAAUCAGUGAAGGAGUACAGUAUAUUGACUAUGCAAUCAGACAUGUACUUCUUAGACAGGUUUAAGUUAAAAGUACGGAAGCCCAGGAUUUAUACACAAAGCAAACGGUCUACUCAAGCCCUAGCAAUCCAAUCCGCACAUCCCGUCAUGGCAUAUGUAUAUGUUAGGUCAAAUCAAAGCUCAAAGGUCGCCAGAAACAAAUAACAGGGCUUGCUUUUUCAUAGACUUUAAACAUGCUGGUUUCAUCUGGUGCUGAUGCUCAGGCAAGUGGUGGAUGAGCUGGUGUCUGAUAAUUAUUUUGGGAUAUAGAAUAUUAAAUAAUAUUAGAUUCAUGUUUUUUGUUCUUACCACCACUGAAUGUUUUGACUGAAUUACAACUGUGUAUCUGGAACAUUAAUGGAUGGGAGAAGAGGAAAUCACGAAGCAUACAAUCGCCACCUGGACAUCCAUCCUCACUGGUUGGAGAAACUAAAGUUCAGUUCCAUAAUGAUCAACGGCAUCCCUCCUUGUUGUAUAUGAAAGUCAAAUUGCCAUUUAUGACCACCAACUGGAAUGCUUGAAGUUGGUAAAUAGUUGGACUCACACCUCACUUUUAACUAUCCCAAUGAAGCAUACAUCAUUUAACUAUCCCACGUAGCCGGUAAAACCUUGCAUUGCCAUGAAGUAUGGGGGCUUUUACACGCAUCACACCUUAUAUAGUUUUUUUUUUUUUUUUUUUUUUUUUGUAAUCGUUUGAAGGCUUGAUUUAUUUUCCCAUCCCUUAUUGUCGACCCCGCCGCAACGCGUGGGUUUCCCACUA
Molecule: long non-coding RNA, 3420 nt
Organism: Helianthus annuus (common sunflower)
Lineage: Eukaryota; Viridiplantae; Streptophyta; Magnoliopsida; Asterales; Asteraceae
Exons: 14
Source: RefSeq, a predicted model, not a curated record